Molecule: transfer RNA, 71 nt
Filed under: Oscillospiraceae bacterium
Lineage: Bacteria; Bacillati; Bacillota; Clostridia; Eubacteriales; Oscillospiraceae
Description: tRNA-Thr
Rfam family: tRNA (bases 6-65)
About the family: Transfer RNA (tRNA) molecules are approximately 80 nucleotides in length. Their secondary structure includes four short double-helical elements and three loops (D, anti-codon, and T loops). Further hydrogen bonds mediate the characteristic L-shaped molecular structure. tRNAs have two regions of fundamental functional importance: the anti-codon, which is responsible for specific mRNA codon recognition, and the 3' end, to which the tRNAs corresponding amino acid is attached (by aminoacyl-tRNA synthetases). tRNAs cope with the degeneracy of the genetic code in two manners: having more than one tRNA (with a specific anti-codon) for a particular amino acid; and 'wobble' base-pairing, i.e. permitting non-standard base-pairing at the 3rd anti-codon position.
Source: RNAcentral
CCGCGAUAGCUCAGUUGGUAGAGCGACUGAUUCGUAAUCAGUAGGUCGGGGGUUCGAGUCCCCCUAUCGGC